AUACGGAGGGUGCAAGCGUUAAUCGGAAUUACUGGGCGUAAAGCGCGCGUAGGCGGUUUGGUAAGUCGGAUGAGAAAGCCCCGGGCUCAACCUGGGAAUUGCAUUCGAUACUGCCGAACUAGAGUAUGGUAGAGGGAAGUGGAAUUUCCGGUGUAGCGGUGAAAUGCGUAGAUAUCGGAAGGAACACCAGUGGCGAAGGCGACUUCCUGGGCCAAUACUGACGCUGAGGUGCGAAAGCGUGGGGAGCAAACAGGAUUAGAAACCCCAGUAGUCC
Molecule: ribosomal RNA, 274 nt
Filed under: uncultured bacterium
Lineage: Bacteria
Description: partial 16S ribosomal RNA
Rfam family: Bacterial small subunit ribosomal RNA
Source: RNAcentral